GACGAACGCUGGCGGCGUGCUUAACACAUGCAAGUCGAACGGAAAGGCCCUGCUUUUGUGGGGUGCUCGAGUGGCGGACGGGUGAGUAACACGUGAGUAACCUGCCCUUGACUUUGGGAUAACUUCAGGAAACUGGGGCUAAUACCGGAUAGGAGCUCCUGCUGCAUGGUGGGGGUUGGAAAGUUUCGGCGGUUGGGGAUGGACUCGCGGCUUAUCAGCUUGUUGGUGGGGUAGUGGCUUACCAAGGCUUUGACGGGUAGCCGGCCUGAGAGGGUGACCGGGCACAUUGGGACUGAGAUACGGCCCAGACUCCUACGGGAGGCAGCAGUGGGGAAUAUUGCACAAUGGGCGGAAGCCUGAUGCAGCAACGCCGCGUGCGGGAUGACGGCCUUCGGGUUGUAAACCGAUUUCGCCGGUGACGAAGCGUGAGUGACGGUAAUGGGUAAAGAAGCACCGGCUAACUACGUG
RNAcentral lists this ribosomal RNA (468 nucleotides) under uncultured bacterium. Its description in RNAcentral is "partial 16S ribosomal RNA". It matches the Rfam family "Bacterial small subunit ribosomal RNA", at positions 28 to 507 of the family's 1533-position model. The record is from RNAcentral.